Molecule: ribosomal RNA, 464 nt
Filed under: uncultured bacterium
Lineage: Bacteria
Description: partial 16S ribosomal RNA
Rfam family: Bacterial small subunit ribosomal RNA
Source: RNAcentral
GACGAACGCUGGCGGCGUGCUUAACACAUGCAAGUCGAACGGUAAGGCCCUUUCGGGGGUACUCGAGUGGCGAACGGGUGAGUAACACGUCGGUGAUCUGCCCUGCACUUUGGGAUAAGCCUGGGAAACUGGGUCUAAUACCGGCUAGGACUACGCGAUGCAUGUCGUGUGGUGGAAAGCUUUUGCGGUGUGGGAUGGGCCCGCGGCCUAUCAGCUUGUUGGUGGGGUGAUGGCCUACCAAGGCGACGACGGGUAGCCGGCCUGAGAGGGUGUCCGGCCACACUGGGACUGAGAUACGGCCCAGACUCCUACGGGAGGCAGCAGUGGGGAAUAUUGCACAAUGGGCGCAAGCCUGAUGCAGCGACGCCGCGUGGGGGAUGACGGCCUUCGGGUUGUAAACCCCUUUCAGCACAGACGAAGCGUAAGUGACGGUAUGUGCAGAAGAAGCACCGGCCAACUACGUG